Molecule: long non-coding RNA, 938 nt
Filed under: Populus tremula
Lineage: Eukaryota; Viridiplantae; Streptophyta; Magnoliopsida; Malpighiales; Salicaceae
Description: long non-coding RNA (PTRE_LNC001566)
Source: RNAcentral
UAAUCAAUUCAAUAUUAUAAGAUGAAAUUAUAAAAAAAAAAAUCUAGAAAAAACAAACUAAUUAUUCUUUUAAUUUCAGUCCAUGAAGAUUAAUUGAAAACACUAGCUUUGUAAAACAAGAGAGAAAAAGCCAAGAACUACUGUUUUACCUCAUAUCCUCAGAAAUUCUAACUCUUUACUGUUAGAUAAUGACCAAAUUAAGAGCAAGUCAAACAACAUGUAAUUCAGACGGCAGCUCUUGUUCAUGUUCAAGUAACCAAUCAAAGACACUGACAUAUUUAUCAUAUAAAACAAUAGACUCCCACCAUCUUAAUCUGUGUUAUACUCCAUGUCUCACAUGGGCUGCAAACCUAGCAAGUCAUUCUUCCACGCUAAUUUACUGAACAAACAAAAAACCAGUCUUAGAUUACACUAAUCAUCAAUCCCAAAAGCAAAAAUCACUGUUCUUACCUGGUUUUGGGAUAAACAAAAUAUCUGAUCCUUCCAGGAUUGUCUAGCCUAUUCAAUAUGGCUGUGUUAGCUCUAAACCGAGAACAUAUUGUAAGAAGUGUAUCUCCAUGUUGAACCAGCUUGUAGAUUACCAUGUCUGCAUUGUUAGAACAGCCACAUAAAAGAUCAAGAGUCACUACUAGCGAUGGAAUCAACCACAGAUGAAAGCUGUGGCAAAAGCUAAAGAGAGAGGUCAAAAUUACAAAACUUACAAAAGUGGUAAUCAAACUUGCUCCUCUCCCUUUUAUUGAUCACUACUUCAAGCAAACAUUAAAUACCAACUAGUUACAUUGAAAAGUACAGGAGAAAGUUUGUGUUCUUUCUCUCGAAGAAAUAGCAAAAGACAUCUUCUUUUCAUCAAAAUGAUCAAUGGAGAUAGACAUAAGUAAAAGGGUCUCAAGUGUGAGCGAGCGAUAUGAGGUGUUACCUGGUGGGUGGUUAGACAAAUG